This 557-nucleotide ribosomal RNA is filed under the name Rhodotorula glutinis. RNAcentral's name for it is "eukaryotic LSU rRNA". It matches the Rfam family "Eukaryotic large subunit ribosomal RNA", at positions 85 to 655 of the family's 3401-position model. Lineage: Eukaryota; Fungi; Basidiomycota; Microbotryomycetes; Sporidiobolales; Sporidiobolaceae. The record is from RNAcentral.
UGCGGCGAGCGAGCGGGAAGAGCUCAAAUUUAUAAUCUGGCACCUUCGGUGUCCGAGUUGUAAUCUCUAGAAGUGUUUUCCGCGUUGGACCGCACACAAGUCUGUUGGAAUACAGCGGCAUAGUGGUGAAACCCCCGUAUAUGGUGCGGACGCCCAGCGCUUUGUGAUACACUUUCAAUGAGUCGAGUUGUUUGGGAAUGCAGCUCAAAUUGGGUGGUAAAUUCCAUCUAAAGCUAAAUAUUGGCGAGAGACCGAUAGCGAACAAGUACCGUGAGGGAAAGAUGAAAAGCACUUUGGAAAGAGAGUUAACAGUACGUGAAAUUGUUGGAAGGGAAACGCUUGAAGUCAGACUUGCUUGCCGGAGCUUGCUUCGGUUUGCAGGCCAGCAUCAGUUUUCCGGGGUGGAUAAUGACGGUUUGAAGGUAGCAGUCUCGGCUGUGUUAUAGCUUUCCGUUGGAUACAUCCUGGGGGACUGAGGAACGCAGCGUGCUUUUUGCGAAAGACUCGUCUUUUUCACGCUUAGGAUGCUGGUGGAAUGGCUUUAAACGACCCGUCUA